UGAGGUGGGAUCCCGGUCUCUUUUACCACCGGGCGCACCACCGGCCCGUCUCGCCCGCACCGUCGGGGAGGUGGAGCGUGAGCGCGCGCGAUAGGACCCGAAAGAUGGUGAACUAUGCCUGGGCAGGGC
This 129-nucleotide ribosomal RNA is filed under the name Echeneis naucrates (live sharksucker). RNAcentral describes it as "partial 28S ribosomal RNA". It matches the Rfam family "Eukaryotic large subunit ribosomal RNA", at positions 727 to 847 of the family's 3401-position model. The record is from RNAcentral. Lineage: Eukaryota; Metazoa; Chordata; Actinopteri; Carangiformes; Echeneidae.